GUCUCUCAUUAUGUCUGAAUUUGUGAUAACAGAAGAGUCUGUUACAUGUAAUAGGGUAAUUUUCUUCAAUACGUUAGACUACGCUACUAGUUUUGUUCAUGUCGAUGUUUUGACUUCAUAUGGAAAAAUUCAAGUAUUGUUCGAAGCAAUAGUGACUGCAAAUGGAGUUUGAAUGUGACAACGGUUAAAUCCACAUGCCAGUCUGUUUUGAGUGUUGCUCUUUUAGACCUAACAGGCAAUGAUCAAUCGUGCAUGUAGUCAAUCACCAAAUUCACUUACAGUCAUUGUCUGAGCAUUUUCUACUAAUAUCCUAAUGUGUUAAUCAUAUACAAAGAUGAUAAUGAAACCGGCCAUCGGCUAUUGAUUCUUGGUUCUCAGAAAUCUACAGCUCAAUCAUGCAAUACUGAUAUUACAGAAAAAAAUACUUUCAUCGUAUGAGCUAACUCACGUAAAAUCAUUCAAUUUUUAGAUACGACAACCUCUUUGCUUGUUUAUUUUUGAAAUACUAAAUUGCUUGCUUCAGUCUUUAUAAAUAAAAGUAUAAUCAUUAGAUUUCAUGAUUAGCAUAGAAUAUAAAAGAAAAACAUCACUAGCAAGGAACAUUUUUCAAAUUAAAAUUCAAAAACAAAUCGUUACAAAAAGAUGCAAUUUAUAAAAAAAAAAUGAAAGUACACACACACGGUUAAAGAGUCAAAAAGAAGAAUUUAAUUUUAUUUUGCUCAAGCUUAUAAGAAUCUGUAAAAAAAAGUUAGUAAAUUAUUCAAAUAAUAAGAUUUCAUGGAAAAGCACUUGAAACAAUAGAAAUAUUCAGAGAUCGGAUUUGGCUUCCGGGUCAAUCGUCACAGAUUUCGGAUAGGGGCGACACAAAUUGCUCAUCAUAGUAAUAUUUUUAACAUUGUUUCAGCGUUUUAAAACUCAAGUUGAAAUUACUUACAUUCUGUUUUGUAAUUGACAAACCACCUCUUGUUAUGAGCUUCUACUUAUAUAAUCCUUGGAC
Schizosaccharomyces pombe (fission yeast) is the source of this 997-nucleotide non-coding RNA. NCBI's taxonomy places the organism in Eukaryota, Fungi, Ascomycota, Schizosaccharomycetes, Schizosaccharomycetales, Schizosaccharomycetaceae. The record is from the annotation of a GenBank genome assembly.